Molecule: long non-coding RNA, 787 nt
Organism: Girardinichthys multiradiatus
Lineage: Eukaryota; Metazoa; Chordata; Actinopteri; Cyprinodontiformes; Goodeidae
Exons: 2
Source: RefSeq, a predicted model, not a curated record
AGGGGUUAGAAUAUCUUCACAAAGGCUCAUGGGAAAAAUAAAGUAGGUAGUAUUUAAUUCCGAACAACAUUACAAGAUCUUCUUAAUAUUUCUGUAUUUUACACAGCCUCAGAUGAAGAUUAAACAUCAGUGCAUGUUUCUCUAAGAUGGAUAUGACAUGCAUUAAAACCUAAGUAGUGUCAGGAUCUGUGCUUUGUGUGUCUGUUGGUGCUCAGCACCUAGAUGGCGUGGAAUCUGGAGGAGAGGUGACAGGUGUUCGCUAUUCCCCUGAUUAUUCUGCAGAGGACUAUUUAAGGAGGAGGCUGCCAGCAACUCACUGCCAGAGUGUUGCCCUUAGUGGUACUAACUCAGCUACGUUACCUUUGCCUUUGACCUUGCCUUGUACACCAAGUAACUUUGUCUUUGUAUCCUGCAGGUUUCCUGAACCUGAUUUUGCCUUGCAUUGAAUCCUGCCUGGAUAAACCGUCUUCUGGAAGGAAGCAAUCCAGUUCCAUGAACAAAGACUCAAGUCUCUCAUGACUUCGUUAGAUCACGCCAGCUGGCAGCCUCCUGAUUCCUGCGUACCUCGGACCUCCAUCUGCGAACCCUGUCCACCCUCCUCCCUCCAUCGCACCUCAUGGAUUACAAACUCUCCUGGCUUACCAUAUCCACCAACUUCAGUCUCACCGGCAAACAACCACUUGGUUUCUCCACUCCCCCUCUGGCGGAUCCCUCCACCAUUCUUUUUUGCAUCCUGGUUCCAGUUCCCUGCAUUAUUCACCCAGUUGUAAAUAGACACUUUACCGAA